UCUAAUAUGGCAGAUUAGUGCAAUGGAUUUAAACCCCGUAAAUAAAGUAGCCUUUUUUUAGAA
RNAcentral lists this transfer RNA (63 nucleotides) under Gyrohypnus fracticornis. RNAcentral's name for it is "tRNA-Leu". The record is from RNAcentral. Lineage: Eukaryota; Metazoa; Arthropoda; Insecta; Coleoptera; Staphylinidae.